GGCUUCCAGGAACCUUGCUCUCUUCUCUGCCCCUUUCUCCACCACUGCUGCCUAAAAUGAGGGUGCCCCCGGCAUUGACCACAUGGCUGAGGCCACACAGAACAGAGCAACAAGACACUGAGCCUGAUUCUCACUGAUAGAACCAUCAAGCAUUUGCCUGAAAACCUGUUAGGACAGAAACGGGGAGGGAGCUUAACCCUUGGAGAAGCUGUGAAGACAUUUUCAUUGACUGUGGCCUGGGUCAUGUUUAACUUUUUGAUGAAAGGUUCUCUCUUGGGAAUGAACGGCCUAAAGACCCUCAUCUUAAAGGAGAAAGUAUGGACCCCCGAGAUUCUGGGUGUGAAGAUCAGUGGAGACUUCCCCCGGCUGCUGACUUCAUUAAACAGCACUUGUUUUUG
This is a long non-coding RNA of Pipistrellus kuhlii (Kuhl's pipistrelle), 398 nucleotides long. RefSeq lists it as uncharacterized. The transcript has 3 exons. The record is from RefSeq and is a predicted model, not a curated record. NCBI's taxonomy places the organism in Eukaryota, Metazoa, Chordata, Mammalia, Chiroptera, Vespertilionidae.